This 501-nucleotide unclassified non-coding RNA is filed under the name uncultured Glomus. Its description in RNAcentral is "SSU rRNA". It matches the Rfam family "Eukaryotic small subunit ribosomal RNA", at positions 591 to 1092 of the family's 1831-position model. Lineage: Eukaryota; Fungi; Glomeromycota; Glomeromycetes; Glomerales; Glomeraceae. The record is from RNAcentral.
CCAAUAGCGUAUAUUAAAGUUGUUGCAGUUAAAAAGCUCGUAGUUGAAUUUCGGGAUCAAUAUUUCGGUCAUGCCGUUGGUAUGCACUGUUAUCAUUGAUUUCUCACCUUCUAAAGAACCGUAAUGCCAUUAAUUUGGUGUUACGGGGAAUUAGGACUGUUACCUUGAAAAAAUUAGAGUGUUUAAAGCAGGCUCACGCUUGAAUACAUUAGCAUGGAAUAAUGAAAUAGGACAUCCGAUUCUAUUUUGUUGGUUUCUAGGAUCGAUGUAAUGAUUAAUAGGGAUAGUUGGGGGCAUUAGUAUUCAAUUGUCAGAGGUGAAAUUCUUGGAUUUAUUGAAGACUAACUACUGCGAAAGCAUUUGCCAAGGAUGUUUUCAUUAAUCAAGAACGAAAGUUAGGGGAUCGAAGACGAUCAGAUACCGUCGUAGUCUUAACCAUAAACUAUGCCGACUAGGAAUCAGACGAUGUUAAUUUUUUAAUGACUCGUUUGGCACCUUACA